RNAcentral lists this ribosomal RNA (254 nucleotides) under uncultured bacterium. Its description in RNAcentral is "partial 16S ribosomal RNA". It matches the Rfam family "Bacterial small subunit ribosomal RNA", at positions 524 to 776 of the family's 1533-position model. The record is from RNAcentral.
UACGUAGGGUGCAAGCGUUGUCCGGAAUUAUUGGGCGUAAAGAGCUCGUAGGCGGUUUGUCGCGUCUGCUGUGAAAUCCCGAGGCUCAACCUCGGGCCUGCAGUGGGUACGGGCAGACUAGAGUGCGGUAGGGGAGAUUGGAAUUCCUGGUGUAGCGGUGGAAUGCGCAGAUAUCAGGAGGAACACCGAUGGCGAAGGCAGAUCUCUGGGCCGUAAGCUGACGCUGAGGAGCGAAAGCGUGGGGAGCGAACAGG